UACGUAGGGGGCGAGCGUUGUCCGGAAUUAUUGGGCGUAAAGGGUUCGCAGGCGGUCUGAUAAGUCAGAUGUGAAAGGCUAUGGCUUAACCAUAGUAAGCAUUUGAAACUGUCAGACUUGAGUUAAGGAGAGGAAAGUGGAAUUCCUAGUGUAGCGGUGAAAUGCGUAGAUAUUAGGAGGAAUACCAGUGGCGAAGGCGACUUUCUGGACUUAAACUGACGCUGAGGAACGAAAGCGUGGGGAGCAAACA
RNAcentral lists this ribosomal RNA (250 nucleotides) under uncultured bacterium. RNAcentral describes it as "partial 16S ribosomal RNA". It matches the Rfam family "Bacterial small subunit ribosomal RNA", at positions 524 to 774 of the family's 1533-position model. The record is from RNAcentral. RNAcentral also lists the same sequence under 1 other name.